RNAcentral lists this transfer RNA (71 nucleotides) under Marmota monax (woodchuck). RNAcentral's name for it is "tRNA.Ala". Lineage: Eukaryota; Metazoa; Chordata; Mammalia; Rodentia; Sciuridae. The record is from RNAcentral.
GGGAUUGUGGCUCAGCGGUAGAGUGCUCGUCUAGCAUGUGUGAGGCCCUGGGUUCGGUCCUCAGCAUCACA